CCUACGGGGGGCAGCAGUGAGGAAUAUUGGUCAAUGGGCGCGAGCCUGAACCAGCCAAGUAGCGUGAAGGAUGACGGCCCUACGGGUUGUAAACUUCUUUUAUAAAGGAGUAAAGUGAGGCACGCGUGCCGUUUUGUAUGUACUUUAUGAAUAAGGAUCGGCUAACUCCGUGCCAGCAGCCGCGGUAAUACGGAGGAUCCGAGCGUUAUCCGGAUUUAUUGGGUUUAAAGGGAGCGUAGAUGGGUUGUUAAGUCAGUUGUGAAAGUUUGCGGCUCAACCGUCAAAGUGCAAUUGAUACUGGCAGUCUUGAGUACAGUUGAGGUAGGUGGAAUUCGUGGUGUAGCGGUGAAAUGCUUAGAUAUCACGAAGAACUCCGAUUGCGAAGGCAGCUUAC
RNAcentral lists this ribosomal RNA (394 nucleotides) under uncultured bacterium. RNAcentral describes it as "partial 16S ribosomal RNA". It matches the Rfam family "Bacterial small subunit ribosomal RNA", at positions 338 to 729 of the family's 1533-position model. The record is from RNAcentral.